This 27-nucleotide non-coding RNA is filed under the name Arabidopsis thaliana (thale cress). Lineage: Eukaryota; Viridiplantae; Streptophyta; Magnoliopsida; Brassicales; Brassicaceae. RNAcentral also lists the same sequence under 3 other names. The record is from RNAcentral.
GAAGUCGAAAUCCGCUAAGGAGUGUGU